GAAAGUUUGCCCCUCCCUCUUCUUUUUUGUUGGUAAGAAAAAUGAAAAUGAAGGAGGCCGGGGGUAAAUUAAGUUCAAAUAUAUCUGAAAAGCUGUGGACUCUUUGUAAUUUACAAUGUCAACAUUAAACUCAAAAGCUUUAGAACUCAAGAAAAACAACAAUAUGUUAUUAUUCCAGUUUCAUUAACCAGUACCGAUCCCAACUGAAUGCGAAGGUGGAUGCAUGAGUUUGCCUAAUUUUGGUUUCCCAUCUAUACUCUUGAAACCAAUCUAGGGCCUAAUAUCAUAUGCUUGACUCUGAACCCUUAGCGAUGAUGCAGACUUUGAAUACUCUCACACGAUCAAUGAAGAUGUACAUUGACCCCGAGUAAGGGGCCUCCUCAGCAUCUUCCACACACAAUUAGCAGCUGUAGGUCCUUGAGAAUCAUCUAUAUCGAUCACUUCAAAAAGGAGGAAUACGAGUAUGAUGAGUAGUAUCUUGUGAUCUGUCAUAGAACAAACUCAGUCCCCCCAAAUCAAUUGCAUCCAAGACCUUUUGAUCGAUCUGCACAAAACUAGUGCGCUGAGUAACUAACUGGUCCAACGAAACGUUUUGGAUCUCGGUUGGUCGAAAACUAAGUUGGAGGCCGAUUGCAGCCAAUCCGGUUGCAUCCUCUGUUGCUCUUCUUCAAGGAAACUAUAGUGAUUUGCAGGACUUUGUGCAACGCCGUUGCGUAACGUAACAACAGAAUUGUGUUACGUACUGUGCUAUUCUACCAACUUGGUGAUGUACGUUGUCCCCAUGGGGAGCUUUCAUGCAUUGUUUUCCUAUAUACUCUACUAUUAUUACUUGCAUAUUUAGUACGUGCCAUACUCAAACUGCAUAAUGAUUUUGCACUUUGCAAAUGUUGAUGCACAUGGUGGCCUCAAACAUGAGGGGGAGCUUCAUGUGUCUCUAUCGGUUCUAAUAUGCGCAGUGUUAAAUUUGCCUGAGUUUGUUUAUCAGAUAAUGACGCGAUGUUUCUUUUGUUUGGUCUGAAUUUCAUUCGUUUUAUACAAAAAUGUUGAUCAGCAUGGUGGCCUCAAACUUGAGGAGGGGCUUCAUGCG
This 1087-nucleotide long non-coding RNA is filed under the name Fragaria vesca (wild strawberry). RNAcentral describes it as "long non-coding RNA (FVES_LNC001433)". Lineage: Eukaryota; Viridiplantae; Streptophyta; Magnoliopsida; Rosales; Rosaceae. The record is from RNAcentral.